RNAcentral lists this ribosomal RNA (324 nucleotides) under uncultured eukaryote. RNAcentral's name for it is "partial 18S ribosomal RNA". It matches the Rfam family "Eukaryotic small subunit ribosomal RNA", at positions 1470 to 1796 of the family's 1831-position model. The record is from RNAcentral.
CCCUUAGAUGUUCUGGGCUGCACGCGCGCUACACUGAUGCGUUCAACGAGUUUAUGACCUUGCCCGAUAGGGUUGGGUAAUCUUUUUAAAUCGCAUCGUGAUGGGGAUAGAUUAUUGCAAUUAUUAAUCUUCAACGAGGAAUUCCUAGUAAGCGCGAGUCAUCAGCUCGUGCUGAUUACGUCCCUGCCCUUUGUACACACCGCCCGUCGCUCCUACCGAUUGGAUGAUCCGGUGAGCUAUUCGGACCUUCGCUUCGUCGAUUUUCGGCUUUGUGAGGGAAAGUCUCGCGAACCUUAUCAUCUAGAGGAAGGAGAAGUCGUANCA